CCGGGCGGGCUAAAUGCAGUCGAGCGAAUCUUUGGGAGCUUGCUCCCAAUGUUAGCGGCGGACGGGUGAGUAACACGUGGGCAACCUGCCUAUAAGACUGGGAUAACUUCGGGAAACCGGAGCUAAUACCGGAUAAUUCACAUCUACUCAUGUAGAUGUGCUGAAAGACGGUUUACGCUGUCACUUAUAGAUGGGCCCGCGGCGCAUUAGCUAGUUGGUGAGGUAACGGCUCACCAAGGCCACGAUGCGUAGCCCACCUGAGAGGGUGAUCGGCCACACUGGGACUGAGACACGGCCCAGACUCCUACGGGAGGCAGCAGUAGGGAAUCUUCCGCAAUGGACGAAAGUCUGACGGAGCAACGCCGCGUGAGUGAUGAAGGUUUUCGGAUCGUAAAACUCUGUUGUUAGGGAAGAAUAAGUACCAGAGUAACUGCUGGUACCUUGACGGUACCUAACCAGAAAGCCACGGCUAACUACGUGCCAGCAGCCGCGGUAAUACGUAGGUGGCAAGCGUUGUCCGGAAUUAUUGGGCGUAAAGCGCGCGCAGGCGGUCCUUUAAGUCUGAUGUGAAAGCCCACGGCUCAACCGUGGAGGGUCAUUGGAAACUGGGGGACUUGAGUACAGAAGAGAAGAGUGGAAUUCCACGUGUAGCGGUGAAAUGCGUAGAGAUGUGGAGGAACACCAGUGGCGAAGGCGACUCUUUGGUCUGUAACUGACGCUGAGGCGCGAAAGCGUGGGGAGCAAACACGAUUAGAUACCCUGGUAGUCCACGCUGUAAACGAUGAGUGCUAAGUGUUAGAGGGUUUCCGCCCUUUAGUGCUGCAGCUAACGCAUUAAGCACU
This 842-nucleotide ribosomal RNA is filed under the name uncultured bacterium. Its description in RNAcentral is "bacterial SSU rRNA". It matches the Rfam family "Bacterial small subunit ribosomal RNA", at positions 42 to 868 of the family's 1533-position model. The record is from RNAcentral.